AGCGUGUAGGCUGGGUGGGAGCCAUACAUAGUUUGGACAACUGAAGACUCAAGCUCAAGUCAAGACAGGAAGAGUGCUGGCAAGCACCUCUCUGCACCCCAUCACUGACCUUGGGCUCACUCCUUCCCUGGUGUCCCAGCCUUCAGACCUCCGGAGAGCCUGCAAAACCCAUCUUCUCUCCUGUGCAUGCAGGAGGAGGCAGGUGAAUGGAAAAGGUUAUGUUGCUUUUGGUAGAGUGUUAUGGAGAUGCUGUGUUUGUUACAGUUUUUAAUAGACCACAGCUAUGUAAAUGUGGGACCACAUCAGCUACUUUCAAAGUUUUCAGAAGGUGAAAAAUGAUAGCAGUGAAUCCAUGAAGCCAUCUAUGUCAGGCAGUUAGCCUGCAAAGACACUGUAAAUUCACCUCUGAUCUGUAUAUACCAAUCAAACCUUCUAUUAAACCAAGGAAGUCAA
This is a long non-coding RNA of Pygoscelis adeliae (Adelie penguin), 453 nucleotides long. RefSeq lists it as uncharacterized. The transcript has 3 exons. The record is from RefSeq and is a predicted model, not a curated record. NCBI's taxonomy places the organism in Eukaryota, Metazoa, Chordata, Aves, Sphenisciformes, Spheniscidae.